Molecule: long non-coding RNA, 752 nt
Filed under: Musa acuminata (dwarf banana)
Lineage: Eukaryota; Viridiplantae; Streptophyta; Magnoliopsida; Zingiberales; Musaceae
Description: long non-coding RNA (MACU_LNC006252)
Source: RNAcentral
GGGGCUCUCUGAGUCUAAUAUGGCGCUAUUGGCAGAGCUAAUGUCUUCUUGCUUGCAUAGCAUGGUCUGGCCAUGCAAUUUCUUCACCUCAAAGGCCAAAGUGGAGUCUAAAUUCUGCAAAUUAUCAGGUAAUCUUUUUGGCUCAAAUGAUUCCAAGCUGCCAUUCUCCUCCUUCAGAAGUCUUUUUGUGAGAGAAAGAACCUGUUGUGAGGAAGCCGAUGCGGAUAAGAAUAUAUCCACUAGCAUUUAAAAUGAUAUCAAGAAUUCAGUGUAAUGCAUUGAUGUAGAUCUUCAAAAUUAAAUAGAUAAAACAGCCUUUUCCUGUAUAAUCAAAUUAGAGAUUCUCAUGAAAAUCCAAACGAUCAAGCUUAGAAUUAGUAAACCCAGUGUAAAUAACAUCAGAUAACAGUAUCGCUUCAUGCUAGAGGCUGUGUUUUACUUGUAGGGAUAUUUGAAGUUCUCAUAAUUGCCUAUAUAUCAGGUAAUAUUGUUAAGGAGUUGAUAGUCACAUGUUUGUGCUGUAAUUACCUCAGCCUUUAGGUCUUCCUUUUCCUUCACAAGGCUAUCAUGAUCCAUCUUGAGAGCAUCAUAACUUGAUUUCAGGGACUCAUAAUCCUUUUCUAUCUGCUUCGUCUUCCAUCUUGCACGGCGAUUCUGAAACCACACAGCAAUCUGCCUGGGCUUUAGUCCGAGAACCUUUGCAAUCUGAAGCUUCCUCUCAGGCUCAAGCUUGUUUUCCAACUCAAAGCUCU